CGGCGGACGGGUGAGUAACGCGUAGGAAUCUGCCUGGUAGUGGGGGAUAACUCGGGGAAACUCGAGCUAAUACCGCAUACGCCCCAUGGGGGAAAGCGGGGGACCUUCGGGCCUCGCGCUAUCAGAUGAGCCUGCGUCGGAUUAGCUAGUUGGUGGGGUAAUGGCCUACCAAGGCGACGAUCCGUAGCUGGUCUGAGAGGAUGAUCAGCCACACUGGGACUGAGACACGGUCCAGACUCCUACGGGAGGCAGCAGUGGGGAAUAUUGGACAAUGGGCGAAAGCCUGAUCCAGCCAUGCCGCGUGUGUGAAGAAGGUCUUCGGAUUGUAAAGCACUUUAAGUUGGGAGGAAGGGCAUUAACCUAAUACGUUAGUGUUUUGACGUUACCGACAGAAUAAGCACCGGCUAACUUCGUGCCAGCAGCCGCGGUAAUACGAAGGGUGCAAGCGUUAAUCGGAAUUACUGGGCGUAAAGCGCGCGUAGGUGGUUCGUUAAGUUGGAUGUGAAAGCCCCGGGCUCAACCUGGGAACUGCAUCCAAAACUGGCGAGCUAGAGUAUGGCAGAGGGUGGUGGAAUUUCCUGUGUAGCGGUGAAAUGCGUAGAUAUAGGAAGGAACACCAGUGGCGAAGGCGACCACCUGGGCUAAUACUGACACUGAGGUGCGAAAGCGUGGGGAGCAAACAGGAUUAGAUACCCUGGUAGUCCACGCCGUAAACGAUGUCGACUAGCCGUUGGGAUCCUUGAGAUCUUAGUGGCGCAGCUAACGCAUUAAGUCGACCGCCCUGGGGAGUACGGCCGCAAGGGUUAAAACUCAAAUGAAUUGACGGGGGCCCGCACAAGCGGU
This 843-nucleotide ribosomal RNA is filed under the name uncultured bacterium. RNAcentral describes it as "bacterial SSU rRNA". It matches the Rfam family "Bacterial small subunit ribosomal RNA", at positions 96 to 933 of the family's 1533-position model. The record is from RNAcentral.